Molecule: ribosomal RNA, 610 nt
Filed under: uncultured bacterium
Lineage: Bacteria
Description: bacterial SSU rRNA
Rfam family: Bacterial small subunit ribosomal RNA
Source: RNAcentral
UUACACAUGCAGUCGAGCGAGACAGACUUCGGGUCUGGGGACAGCGGCGAACGGGUGAGUAACACGUGGGUAAUCAACCCUCGGUACUGGGAUAGCCCGGGGAAACCCGGAUUAAUUACCGGAUGGCCCUUUGGAUCUUCGGAUCUGACGGAAAAGGUAGCUUCGGCUCCGACCGAGGACGAGCCCGCGGCGGAUUAGCUUGUCUGGUGAGGUAACGGUCACCAAAGGCGACGAUCCGUAGCUGGUCUGAGAGGACGAUCAGCACACUGGGACUGAGACAACGGCCAAACUCCUAACAGGGAGGCAGCAGUGGGGAAUCUUGGGCAAUGGGGCGAAAGCCUUGACGGCAAGCAAACGCCGCGUUGGGGGAUGAAGGCUCUCGGGUUGUAAACCCCUUUCAGUAGGGACGAAUUCAGACGGUACCUACAGAAGAAGCCCCGGCAACUACGUGCCAGCAGCCGCGGUAACACGUAGGGGGCAAGCGUUGUCCGGAUUCAUUUGGGCGUAAAGGGUGCGUAGGUGGCGCCGUAAGUCGGGUGUGAAAUUUCGGAGCUUAACUCCGAAAUUGAUUCGAUACUGGGUGCUUGAGGACUGGAGAGGGAGACUGGAA